RNAcentral lists this ribosomal RNA (447 nucleotides) under uncultured bacterium. Its description in RNAcentral is "bacterial SSU rRNA". It matches the Rfam family "Bacterial small subunit ribosomal RNA", at positions 331 to 795 of the family's 1533-position model. The record is from RNAcentral.
CCAGACUCCUACGGGAGGCAGCAGUGGGGAAUAUUGCACAAUGGGGGAAACCCUGAUGCAGCGACGCCGCGUGAGCGAUGAAGUAUUUCGGUAUGUAAAGCUCUAUCAGCAGGGAAGAAAAUGACGGUACCUGACUAAGAGGCCCCGGCUAACUACGUGCCAGCAGCCGCGGUAAUACGUAGGGGGCAAGCGUUAUCCGGAUUUACUGGGUGUAAAGGGAGCGUAGACGGUCCUGCAAGCCAGAUGUGAAAGCCCGGGGCUCAACCCCGGGACUGCAUUUGGAACUGUAAGGCUAGAGUGUCGGAGAGGCAGGCGGAAUUCCUAGUGUAGCGGUGAAAUGCGUAGAUAUUAGGAGGAACACCGGUGGCGAAGGCGGCCUGCUGGACUGUAACUGCCGUUGAGGCUCGAAAGCGUGGGGAGCAAACAGGAUUAGAUACCCCGGUAGCG